This is a small nuclear RNA of Bombina bombina (fire-bellied toad), 167 nucleotides long. RefSeq annotates it as U1 spliceosomal RNA. The record is from RefSeq and is a predicted model, not a curated record. NCBI's taxonomy places the organism in Eukaryota, Metazoa, Chordata, Amphibia, Anura, Bombinatoridae. The transcript has a single exon.
AUGUUUACCUGGCAGGGGGAUCUUAGCAUGAUUACUAAGGUGGCUCUCCAAGGGCGAGGCUGGUUCAUUGCUCCCUGAGCCCGCUGACUUCUGUGAUUUCCCCACAUGCGGAAAACUCAACUGCACAAUUUUUUGGGAGUGAGGUUCUGCGUGUGCAUUUUCCCAUG